UACUAGAGUAGCACUCGCAUAUCAUAAGCGGAGGAAAAGAAACUAACAAGGAUUCCCCUAGUAACGGCGAGUGAAGCGGGAAGAGCUCAAAUUUGAAAUCUUAAAGGGUUUCCCUUUACGAAUUGUAGUUUAAAGAAGUGUUUUCUGUUGAGGUUUUGGUAAAAGUUCUUUGGAAUAGGACAUCAUAGAGGGUGAGAAUCCCGUAUUUGACCUUUACUUCCAACUUUGUGAUACACUCUCAAAGAGUCGGAUUGUUUGGGAAUGCAGUCCAAAGUGGGUGGUAAAUUUCAUCUAAAGCUGAAUAUUGGCGAGAGACCGAUAGCGAACAAGUACCGUGAGGGAAAGAUGAAAAGAACUUUGAAAAGAGAGUUAAACAGUACGUGAAAUUGUCAAAAGGGAAGCGUUUGACACCAGUGUUGUUUUUCUGAAAAUCAAUUAAAGAACUGUUUAUGCUAAGCUGUUUAGACUUUAUCAGCUAACUGUUUAGUUUUGAGCUUUUCUUUAAUGCACUUUUCAGUUAACAAGUCAACAUCAAUUUCUUUUGCUGUAAAAAAGCUUGAGGAAGGUGGCUUGAGAUUCGUCUUAAGUGUUUAUAGCCUCUUGCCUAUGCAGUCGGAGAGAUUGAGGUCUGCAGCGUAGAUCCUUCGGGGCUAAAUGCAUUUGUGCUAAGUUAUAACAUUUUAUAGACAACUUGUUGACUAUGAUUUGUCUUGUAGCUUACUCGCUUAUGUUAUUUUACCUACGCUUAGGAUGUUGAUAUCGCGCUCUCACUG
Molecule: ribosomal RNA, 773 nt
Filed under: uncultured Neocallimastigales
Lineage: Eukaryota; Fungi; Neocallimastigomycota; Neocallimastigomycetes; Neocallimastigales
Description: partial large subunit ribosomal RNA
Rfam family: Eukaryotic large subunit ribosomal RNA
Source: RNAcentral